This 80-nucleotide long non-coding RNA is filed under the name Felis catus (domestic cat). RNAcentral's name for it is "lncRNA (ENSFCAG00000049067.1)". The record is from RNAcentral. Lineage: Eukaryota; Metazoa; Chordata; Mammalia; Carnivora; Felidae.
AGAGACCAGUGCAAAGCACAUGACGGACUGCGUGCCCUCCCUUUCCCAUUCCCCGCACACGCGCACCUCCUGAGGCUGGG